Molecule: long non-coding RNA, 287 nt
Filed under: Ananas comosus (pineapple)
Lineage: Eukaryota; Viridiplantae; Streptophyta; Magnoliopsida; Poales; Bromeliaceae
Description: long non-coding RNA (ACOM_LNC038119)
Source: RNAcentral
AAUAUAUUUUAACAAAUUCCGAUCUCUCUCCGCUCUCUCUCUCUUUCACACACAUCUAGAGAUGUACACAUCUCUCUCUCCUCUCUCUCUCUCUCAUUGAGAAAUAUGCCCAUCUCUCUUUCUCUCCUCUAUCUCUCUCUUCUCUCUCACAUAGAGAUGUUCUCUAUGUACUUCCAUCUUUCUCUCUCUCAUCUUCUUCUCUUUCUCCUUAUGCACGUUUAUUUUCUUUCUUUCUUUCGCAAACCACUCCUCCGCCGGCCCUGCCUUUUUGUCCCCCUCUCUAUGUA